ACGUAGGGAGCGAGCGUUGUCCGGAAUUACUGGGCGUAAAGGGUGCGUAGGCGGCGCAGUUAGUCAGAAGUGAAAUAUCGGGGCUUAACUCCGGGACUGCUUCUGAUACUGCUGUGCUCGAGUGCAGGAGAGGUAAGUGGAAUUCCUAGUGUAGCGGUGAAAUGCGUAGAUAUUAGGAGGAACACCAGUGGCGAAGGCGACUUACUGGACUGUAACUGACGCUGAGGCACGAAAGCGUGGGUAGCAAACAG
This 251-nucleotide ribosomal RNA is filed under the name uncultured bacterium. Its description in RNAcentral is "partial 16S ribosomal RNA". It matches the Rfam family "Bacterial small subunit ribosomal RNA", at positions 525 to 775 of the family's 1533-position model. The record is from RNAcentral.